RNAcentral lists this ribosomal RNA (496 nucleotides) under uncultured bacterium. RNAcentral describes it as "partial 16S ribosomal RNA". It matches the Rfam family "Bacterial small subunit ribosomal RNA", at positions 28 to 506 of the family's 1533-position model. The record is from RNAcentral.
GAUGAACGCUGGCGGCGUGCCUAAUACAUGCAAGUCGAGCGAACAGACGAGGAGCUUGCUCCUCUGACGUUAGCGGCGGACGGGUGAGUAACACGUGGAUAACCUACCUAUAAGACUGGGAUAACUUCGGGAAACCGGAGCUAAUACCGGAUAAUAUAUUGAACCGCAUGGUUCAAUAGUGAAAGACGGUUUUGCUGUCACUUAUAGAUGGAUCCGCGCCGCAUUAGCUAGUUGGUAAGGUAACGGCUUACCAAGGCAACGAUGCGUAGCCGACCUGAGAGGGUAACCGGCCAACCUGGAACGAGGGCAGGUGCCAACCCCCAAGGGGGGGCGGGAGGAGGAAAUUUCCCGAAAUGGGCGAAAGCCGAAAGGGCAAACGCCGCGGGAGUAAAGAAGGUUUUCGGAUCGUAAAACUUUUUUAUUGGGAAAGAAAAAAUGUGAAGAAAACUAUCACCCUCUGGACGGUACCUAAACAAAAAGCCACGGCUAACUGCGU